This 255-nucleotide ribosomal RNA is filed under the name uncultured bacterium. RNAcentral describes it as "partial 16S ribosomal RNA". It matches the Rfam family "Bacterial small subunit ribosomal RNA", at positions 524 to 776 of the family's 1533-position model. The record is from RNAcentral.
UACGGAGGAUGCGAGCGUUAUCCGGAUUUAUUGGGUUUAAAGGGUGCGUAGGCGGAGUGUCAAGUCAGCGGUAAAAUUUCGGGGCUCAACCCCGUCGUGCCGUUGAAACUGACACCCUUGAGUGAGUGAGAAGUAAGCGGAAUGCGUGGUGUAGCGGUGAAAUGCAUAGAUAUCACGCAGAACGCCGAUUGCGAAGGCAGCUUACCGGCGCUCAACUCGAGCGCUGAGGCACGAAAGUGCGGGUAGUCGAACAGG